AAAAAGUGGAGACCAGAAACCACUAAAAAAAAGGGGGCGACACCGAAAAGCCAAAUGAGUAAGGACAGCA
RNAcentral lists this non-coding RNA (70 nucleotides) under unclassified sequences. RNAcentral describes it as "DUF805 RNA". It matches the Rfam family "DUF805 RNA". The record is from RNAcentral.